This 593-nucleotide long non-coding RNA is filed under the name Nicotiana benthamiana. Its description in RNAcentral is "long non-coding RNA (NBEN_LNC028476)". The record is from RNAcentral. Lineage: Eukaryota; Viridiplantae; Streptophyta; Magnoliopsida; Solanales; Solanaceae.
GUUUUCUCUAAUACAAAGCUUUUGUUAGCAAUUCUCUUGUGUUCUUUAUAUAAUUCUCUUAACGAUAUUGAGUGUAGUAAGAAUGACUUGGCAUAGCAAGAACGUGAGUAAGUUUUGCAAAAUCGUGAGCGAGUUAUCAAGUGCAUGUGUACUUAGCUAACGACUAAAGACGCGAGUUAUCAAGUGCAUAUGUACUUAGCUAACGACUAAAGACGUGACAGUAAGCUACGGUUCGACGGAAUGGUAAUAUUUCUCGAGGCUAAAAUGAGUGUGUUAUGUGGUGGUUAACAUAUGAAAGAGAAGCUCUAAUAAAAGGUGAAAUCGGAGAGGAUGGGGAUGGUUGCCAUGGAUUCUGGGAGUUUUAAUUUGAAAGGAUUUGCUGACUAGAAUAUUGAUAUGCACAAAAUAUUAGAGGAGUCAGUUGCUACAAUAGAGGACCAUUAGGGCUAAGGGCAAUUUUGAUAAGUUUGUUAAUGGUGUGGGUUGAUAUGAAAGAUAAAUAUAAUGAAGACGAAUAUAAACAAUAUACCGUAAUAGUAAAGGAUUAUAUUCGGACCUUUCCCCGAAUAAAAAUAUUUUCCUUGUUGACUAAA